AUUUAUAUAGUUUAAAUUAAAACAAUACAUUUUCAUUGUUUAAAUAAAUAAAAUUAUUUUAUAAAUA
This 67-nucleotide transfer RNA is filed under the name Triodia sylvina. RNAcentral describes it as "tRNA-Glu". The record is from RNAcentral. Lineage: Eukaryota; Metazoa; Arthropoda; Insecta; Lepidoptera; Hepialidae.